Acanthosepion pharaonis is the source of this 112-nucleotide non-coding RNA. NCBI's taxonomy places the organism in Eukaryota, Metazoa, Mollusca, Cephalopoda, Sepiida, Sepiidae. The record is from the annotation of a GenBank genome assembly.
UACGACCACAUCACGUUGUAACAUCGGUUCCCGUACAAUCACUGAAGUUAAGUAACCUUGAUCCUGGUCAGUACCUAGAUGGGUAACUGCUUGGGAAUACCAGGUGCUGUAA